This 301-nucleotide ribosomal RNA is filed under the name uncultured eukaryote. RNAcentral describes it as "partial large subunit ribosomal RNA". It matches the Rfam family "Eukaryotic large subunit ribosomal RNA", at positions 40 to 350 of the family's 3401-position model. The record is from RNAcentral.
AUAUCACUAGGCGGAGGAAAAGAAACUAACAAGGAUUCCCUCAGUAACGGCGAGUGAAGCGGGAAGAGCUCAGACUGAAAAUCUUCGGAGUUGUAGUCUGGAGAAGUUAGAUCAGGCCCGUCGGUCAGUAAAGUCUACUGGAAUGUAGCGCCUUGGAGGGUGAUAGCCCCGUGUGAUACUGACGACGGCGGACCGUACGAUCGACUUUCAACGAGUCGAGUUGUUUGGGAUUGCAGCUCUAAGUGGGUGGUAAAUUCCAUCUAAAGCUAAAUAUUGGUGGGAGACCGAUAGCGCACAAGUA